Molecule: ribosomal RNA, 499 nt
Filed under: Caulobacter sp.
Lineage: Bacteria; Pseudomonadati; Pseudomonadota; Alphaproteobacteria; Caulobacterales; Caulobacteraceae
Description: bacterial SSU rRNA
Rfam family: Bacterial small subunit ribosomal RNA
Source: RNAcentral
UUAUCGCCAUUGGAGCGGCCCGCGUCUGAUUAGCUAGUUGGUAGGGUAAAGGCCUACCAAGGCUACGAUCAGUAGCUGGUCUGAGAGGAUGAUCAGCCACACUGGGACUGAGACACGGCCCAGACUCCUACGGGAGGCAGCAGUUAGGAAUCUUGCGCAAUGGGCGAAAGCCUGACGCAGCCAUGCCGCGUGAAUGAUGAAGGUCUUAGGAUUGUAAAAUUCUUUCAGCGGGGACGAUAAUGACGGUACCCGCAGAAGAAGCUCCGGCUAACUUCGUGCCAGCAGCCGCGGUAAUACGAAGGGGGCUAGCGUUGCUCGGAAUUACUGGGCGUAAAGGGCGCGUAGGCGGACAGUUUAGUCAGAGGUGAAAGCCCAGGGCUCAACCUUGGAACUGCCUUUGAUACUGGCUGUCUUGAGUUCGGGAGAGGUGUGUGGAACUCCGAGUGUAGAGGUGAAAUUCGUAGAUAUUCGGAAGAACACCAGUGGCGAAGGCGACACA